Colias croceus (clouded yellow) is the source of this 671-nucleotide long non-coding RNA. RefSeq lists it as uncharacterized. The transcript has 3 exons. NCBI's taxonomy places the organism in Eukaryota, Metazoa, Arthropoda, Insecta, Lepidoptera, Pieridae. The record is from RefSeq and is a predicted model, not a curated record.
GGGUGGUUGACAAAAUUAUUUAGAAAAUCUUCAAGAUCAAGAUCAAUCAAGAUAUUAUAUCAAUGGAAGUUGAUAUAAAUAACGCUUUUCUAUUGGCCGUUAAACUUCCUCUCAGCUAUGGACUGUCUUUAUUGCAUUAUAAUUUAUUAAGCAAAAAAUUAGAGGAGGACCUCAAAACAUUUUUAUUAUUUUUAUUGGAAAAGCCUCUGAUUACAACAAUAUUUUUAUCAUUUUUUGUAGGCGGAAUUACUAUGAUUCUUUCAAUUUCGUUUUCAUUGUUUCUAUUAGUAUUUCUUCUAGUAGCAUACAUAAUUUUAUUUGAAGGUAUUAUCGUAAUACUUGUGUUUGCUAUAGCAAUUCAAAUGACGCUGAUAGCUUUUUCCACAAACAUUGUGAUCAAUUGCAUGAAAAAAUUGUUAAAUGAAAUUUUCAGAUAAAAUUUUAUAAGCGUCGUCAAUAUGUAAUAUACUUACCUAACUAAUGAAUGUGUACAUAGCUAAUUCGUAAAUUACUAAUAUUAGUUUUGAAUUUUGAUUAUAUAAUCAAAUUUUGAUUAUUAUAUAUUAAUUCAACGGUGAAUCAUUUUUUACCACAGCUCUAAACCUUAGAGCAUAGAAACUCUUUAGAAUUUAUAUAAUUGUUGCCAUUGUAAACAAUAAUUUAGUCCAAAA